AUGUUAGGAGAGCAGUUCUAUGAUUUCUUCUAUGAAGUUGAGAAAGUGGUGUCCGUUGGAGGGGAAAAAGAUCAAUCCUCCAUUGCUGUUGAUAGCAGCGCAUCCCCUUCUUUCCCUAAAAAAGCUAGGGUGGACUCAUAUCCCGCUUCCUCUGCGGAGCAAGGGGAAACUGAUGCAUCGAUGGUGGGAAAUCAUUCGUCACAAAGUUAUGACAAAAGCUCACAGAGGUUGAUGGUGGUUACUGAAAAUGAAGAAGAGGAGGAGAGUGAUGAGGGGAAUCAUACUGAAUUGCUCAUUGAGUCUAUGGCUAGGGAGCCUGAUAAGGAAAAAAUAUCUUACUAUGAUUCUCCAAUGAAUGUCACAUGA
RNAcentral lists this ribosomal RNA (366 nucleotides) under Triticum aestivum (bread wheat). RNAcentral's name for it is "partial small subunit ribosomal RNA". The record is from RNAcentral. Lineage: Eukaryota; Viridiplantae; Streptophyta; Magnoliopsida; Poales; Poaceae.